Phyllostomus hastatus (greater spear-nosed bat) is the source of this 400-nucleotide long non-coding RNA. RefSeq lists it as uncharacterized. The transcript has 3 exons. NCBI's taxonomy places the organism in Eukaryota, Metazoa, Chordata, Mammalia, Chiroptera, Phyllostomidae. The record is from RefSeq and is a predicted model, not a curated record.
CUCACACACCGUUGUUUCUGAGGCUGAGCUAGCAAUGAGAUAAAAGCAGAGUAUAAAUUAACUUUCUUAAAAGCUAGAAAGAAGAAAAUGUCUUUCUUUGACAUUGUGGGAGGAACAAAACACAGAUGUUAGACAUUUUCUGCACUGAAAUAUGUAGUUUUCCCCUUAUUUAUGUAGAAGAAAUUUGCAAGACAAUCUGGACAUCAGAAGAGGAAUAAGGAAACCAAAGUUAAAAGAAACUGUUUCAAGUUUUUGAUAUUAAAAGAGAAAGCUUUCAGGAAAAUCCUGUUGCUCUGAGUUCUGCUACCUGGCUCAGCACUAGGUGUGCCCUACAGACUGAAGUCAGACUGACUAAUGUGAUUCAAGACACUAAGGCACUGAGACAAGUUUCAUCAAGGCA